Long non-coding RNA from Hibiscus syriacus, 719 nucleotides. RefSeq lists it as uncharacterized. The record is from RefSeq and is a predicted model, not a curated record. The transcript has 5 exons. NCBI's taxonomy places the organism in Eukaryota, Viridiplantae, Streptophyta, Magnoliopsida, Malvales, Malvaceae.
GCUUAUUUAGAUAGCUUGGGAGAUAGCUGGCACACGAUAUCAUGAUCCUAAAUUAGUGAACGAAACUGCUUCCAACAUUCUAUCUGAUAAAGACACCACAAUUCCCUUUUAAGUCUUUAACUGCAGAACCAGAUGAGGUCCAUUUCUUAUUGCUUGGGUGAAAUACUUCAAGAAGACUAUAUUUUCUGGCAAUAAUGGGAAGAAAUAUGGACGUUUUAUUGGUGGAUCAAUUGUGGGUCAUUUUGCAAAUCAGUUAUGCCCGUUUUAUUUUGAGGUGACUCAAACAAAAGAAGUACUGUCAACUGAACAGCCCUGUGAUUUGGCCUACGAAUUCGGGGAUGGUCUCUUGGAUAUUCGAUUAAUAUCCAAGUCACUUUCCCAAACCAGUGAAACACCCGUAUCCGUUCAAUGAUGAGGCUGUGAUAUACAUUCAGCAUAUAGGACCUGAACGUUUUGGUAGGGCAGGCAUGGCAGGAAGGCAAAAAAUUAGACCAAAGGCCACAGAAGUUAUGUGGGGAGAUUUUGAUGGUAAAAGAAUAUGCUCCAUGAGAAAAUUAGGUGAAGAAAUCAUGUGGUUUUGUUUUGUCAUUUGAAGAAGGGCAUAAAUCCUAUGUGGAGUGUAGCUGUUUAGGUAUGAACUGUAACAGUGGUAACUUCCAUGGUGAUUGAUGACAUAUUUGAAAAAGAUUAAGGGUAGGCAUGACCAUCAAUCAUGUGAG